AGUGAACGCUGGCGGCGUGCUUAACACAUGCAAGUCGAACGAGAAAGGAUUAUAGCUUGCUAUAAUUGUCAGCUAAGUGGCGCACGGGGGAGUAAUGUAUAGGUAAUAUGCCUCUUACUAAGGGAUAACAAAUGGAAACGUUUGCUAAUACCUUAUACUCCUUAUUAACAGAAGUUAAUAAGGGAAAGAUUUAUUGGUAAGAGAUUAGCCUGUAUUGUAUCAGUUAGUUGGUGGGGUAAUGGCUUACCAAGACGAUGACACAUAACUGGUUUGAGAGGAUGAUCAGUCACACUGGAACUGAGACACGGUCCAGGCUCCUACGGGAGGCAGCAUUGGGGAAUAAUGCACAAUGGACGAAAGUCUGAUGCAGCAACGCCGCGUGGAGGAUGACACAUUUCGGUGCGUAAACUCCUUUUAUAUGAGAAGAUAAUGACGGUAUUAUAUGAAUAAGCACCGGCUAACUCCGUGCCAGCCGCCGCCGUAA
This 484-nucleotide ribosomal RNA is filed under the name uncultured bacterium. Its description in RNAcentral is "partial 16S ribosomal RNA". It matches the Rfam family "Bacterial small subunit ribosomal RNA", at positions 29 to 523 of the family's 1533-position model. The record is from RNAcentral.